AAUGCUUUUGUAACAAGUCAGCAGUUUUUGUUGUUUUACUUUUUUUAAAAGAGUUUAUCUCCUUAUUUCACUAAAUUUACCAGUAAAAUACAGAUUAUCAAGUUUAUUUUAAAAAAAAGUCUCAUUUUGGAACCACUGUUAUAUAACAGCUAAUAUUGACACGCCCUCGCAGCCAUAGAGCCUGUUUGAGAAUCAGCCCCAUCAACCAAGUCCGAACCACAAUGCUGGAAAUGGGAACACCGCCAUCCUCUGCUGUGUAAAUGAGGGAAGCCUCAGUAAAGCAGGCGGAGGAGGAGUAAACCAGAGAGGAGCACAAAGCCUAAAGCAGCAGUCCCUCCCAAACAGGACUGUAAAAGAAAAAACUACAGCCUCUGAGACGGACAGGGAGCUGCAGCUCCUAAACAACAAACCAACUAACUAGCUGUAACAAACGCUGCAGGAGACUGCUUCUGGGAACAUACUAUAGCGUGUUCACAUGGUCUCCACCCAGUCCUCCUCCUCUUCUGCUGGCACAGGAAACUUCUGACACUUACUGUGGGCUUGACUAAGUGUGGGGAAACAGCCCAGACUCUCACAGCAGGAUGGGUGCCAGACAGGAGACAGUGGGCCUCCUGAACAAAAUAUGGCUCAAGCUUCAAUGUCUGCCCAGCGCCCACCCUUUGGAGAUGGCAGGCUUCUUCAUCCUCCUAAUCUUCAUCUGUGUCACACCUCUUUUUUUGAAGCACAUUAAUUGUUCUCUUCAAAACAGAGCAGCUUCUAAAUACUUUUUUUUUUGUUUCCAACAGUUACGGUCAUUCUCAUGGCGGUGUUCACCUGUGUGAGCCGCCGCUGCUGUUGCCGCUGCUGCCCCUGUUGUAAGCCCAAACAGGACGGACCCAAUGUUUGAGUGAACGUUUUUACUAUCAGACAGGUUUUUCCUGCAGAUCUGCAAAGCACAAUGUUUAGAAAUCCUGCCAGAGUUUCGGAUAUAAACCAUACAGAAUGCACAAAAAGGGCAGGGCCCCAGAACAACCAAGCUAACUGUUAGGAUCAUGUUCAGGGCUACAAAGAACACCUGUCAAUGCUGCCAGGCUUUCAGGAGAAGCGACAUUCCUCUGGAGCAUCCCUGCCACCUGCAGAGUGACAACAGCUCAUCUACCCUGACGAAAUGGGGCCGGUCCCAGACCAAACUGAACAAGCUUCCGUGCCUUUAAAAAUAGUAAGCUGCACAGUGUUAGAUGAGCAGAAAUUAAGAAACAUAUUAAAACGAGAGAGAAAAAACGAAGCACAUGGCAGCCAGGAAAGCAGCCGAAAGUUGAUGAAGAUUGAAAGCAGUGAUAGCAAAGUCUCCUGCUCCAAUUUAAGUUCAAGGAGUGAAGGUUUAAGUGGUGAUCUAUCCAGUGAGGAAGAGGAAGUCUGAGGGCAGCACAUUAGAGACCUAACAAACCAGAACCCUACAGAGGGAUUCAUAAGACCUCUGUGGUAAAGGAACAUGUGUGGCCAAACUAUAAUUCCAAAAAGUUAAAUCUGGCAGUACUCAGGUAGAAUUAAAUAUUGUUUCACUUUAUACCAGCGCUGUUACUCUAGUGUGCAUCACUUCGGUUACUUCCAACAAAACAAUGCUUUAAGUUAGGGAGUAGUGAAAAGGUUGUGUAAAACAUAACACCAGUGAACGGAAGCAGCUGAAAGUCUCCCUUUUCUAUAAACAAUCGGCUUGCAAUUUACUCAGAAUGGUUUAAUUGAACUACAAUUAUGUAGCUGCCAAAGUGUAAGUUUACAGUUAAUUUUCUCACAACAACAAAAAAGUCCCUUAAAGUAAAUGCCACAUAAGAUAGUUGGCAGGGAAAUUAGAACCCUGAUAUACAAUCUGGACUUUUUGUCCCAGGUGGGUGAUAAGAAAUGACAAGAAAUCUGCACUUCUCACCUAUUUACUUUCACAUAUCUCAUCCACUUUUUCUGUGUAUAGUUUAUUUGGAGAAAGUAAGAAUGGUCACUCGAUCCUUUUCUGUGUUGCUAACUGGCGACAUUUGACAGAUGUAUUCCUGUUGGGAAGGCCUUUUUUGUUCAAGUAAAAAAAAAUCGGUAUUAUGCAUUUCUGUUUUAGAGGGGUGGGACUCCAAAUGGUCUUUUUGUGUCAGAAAAAUUUAUUUUAAAAUGACUUAUCUACUUUGAAAAAUAAUGAAAUGGACAAUUGUUAAUUUAAUUAUGUUUCAUACUUCCAUCACUUUUAGGAGAUUUGUCCGUAAAAUAUCUUUGCCCUUUGAAGUGUUCCUUAACAGCAGGGAAUUAGGGGGGCAAGUGCACCCUCUGCUGUUUUGGAAUUGAAAAGUGGAUAUUUAGAGAAAAAUGGAAUUAUGUUUAUACCUAAAAUUAUUAAACUAGUUCAAAUAUAAUAAUGUCAGGUUGAUACUGUACCCUAAUGUACUGCAUUGAUUUUUAUACAAUAAAGAGGUAAUUUCCAAAG
Molecule: long non-coding RNA, 2443 nt
Organism: Girardinichthys multiradiatus
Lineage: Eukaryota; Metazoa; Chordata; Actinopteri; Cyprinodontiformes; Goodeidae
Exons: 3
Source: RefSeq, a predicted model, not a curated record